This 525-nucleotide ribosomal RNA is filed under the name Phomopsis sp. Its description in RNAcentral is "eukaryotic LSU rRNA". The stretch from base 151 to 304 matches the Rfam family "5.8S ribosomal RNA". The record is from RNAcentral. Lineage: Eukaryota; Fungi; Ascomycota; Sordariomycetes; Diaporthales; Diaporthaceae.
CAGAAACCCUUUGUGAACUUAUACCUUACUGUUGCCUCGGCGCAUGCUGGCCCCCUCGGGGCCCCCUGGAGACAGGGAGCAGGCACGCCGGCGGCCAAGUUAACUCUUGUUUUUACACUGAAACUCUGAGAAAAAACACAAAUGAAUCAAAACUUUCAACAACGGAUCUCUUGGUUCUGGCAUCGAUGAAGAACGCAGCGAAAUGCGAUAAGUAAUGUGAAUUGCAGAAUUCAGUGAAUCAUCGAAUCUUUGAACGCACAUUGCGCCCUCUGGUAUUCCGGAGGGCAUGCCUGUUCGAGCGUCAUUUCAACCCUCAAGCAUUGCUUGGUGUUGGGGCACUGCCUGUAAAAGGGCAGGCCCUGAAAUCUAGUGGCGAGCUCGCCAGGACCCCGAGCGCAGUAGUUAAACCCUCGCUUUGGAAGGCCCUGGCGGUGCCCUGCCGUUAAACCCCCAACUUCUGAAAAUUUGACCUCGGAUCAGGUAGGAAUACCCGCUGAACUUAAGCAUAUCAAAAGGCGGGAGGAA